AAGUCGUAACAAGGUUUCCGUAGGUGAACCUGCGGAAGGAUCAUUACAGAGAACUUGCCCUUCGGGGUAGAUCUCCCACCCUUUGUUUAUUCACUAUGUUGCUUUGGCGGGCCCGUCUCGCGACCGCCGGCUUCGGCUGGCCUGCGCCCGCCAGAGGACCUCAAACUCGAAUUUAAUGUCGUCAGAGUAUUAUACAAUAGUUAAAACUUUCAACAACGGAUCUCUUGGUUCUG
This 233-nucleotide unclassified non-coding RNA is filed under the name Helotiales sp. RNAcentral describes it as "partial contains small subunit ribosomal RNA, internal transcribed spacer 1, and 5.8S ribosomal RNA". The stretch from base 1 to 46 matches the Rfam family "Eukaryotic small subunit ribosomal RNA", at positions 1786 to 1831 of the family's 1831-position model. The record is from RNAcentral. Lineage: Eukaryota; Fungi; Ascomycota; Leotiomycetes; Helotiales.